UCUGAUAGGAGCUGUGGUGAUGAAAUUUUCCAACACAAAAGAAAAAUACAUAGAAGCAGUACGGUAAUCAAAUACUGGCUGAAGUCUCCAAAAACUCGGUUUACCAGCAAAGAGAAAUCUAAAAAUGUUCAAACACCGGAUCCUGGAGGAAAAUCUGAAUGCU
Long non-coding RNA from Nilaparvata lugens (brown planthopper), 163 nucleotides. RefSeq lists it as uncharacterized. The record is from RefSeq and is a predicted model, not a curated record. NCBI's taxonomy places the organism in Eukaryota, Metazoa, Arthropoda, Insecta, Hemiptera, Delphacidae. The transcript has 2 exons.